GAAACAUACUUUUUCCUGCAUUUUCAUUUCUAAUUUUAGUAUUCCAUAUCUCUUCCAACAGGAAAACCCAAGAUACUGCUGAAACAUUCCUUAAGUGUACCAAGCUGACUAGUCUACUUAUUAUGUAACUGAGAUAAUGAGUUCUGAUUGAAUGUCUACAUGUAAUAUCUCUUCACUUCAGUAAAAGAAAACAGUGGUUGAAAGAAACAGCUCCUGGAUUUACUCCUUCCUAAGACCCAAGCUCUAUCCUCUAGAUUUUUUCAGUCUCUUCAGCAACUAUUUAGAUCAUAAGAGCUUUUUUGUUCUCUUUUGUUUUUUUUUGCUGUUGUUGAUGUCAGACUUCACAUUCAUUCAGUACCUCAUGCUCAGCAGCAGACAUAAAUCAGCUGGCUCACAUCCUACGCAAAUAUCAGAAACAAACACUUGAGUCAGUGUUUAGGUAUGUACCUUGUAAUUGCAUGCUCGCUACAUAUCAAAGAGCAACACCAAAAUCUUUCUUUAAACACCUUACAAUUCAACAAAUAAGACUUUCCAUGUGAAAAUUCUUUUAAGCCCCAGCUUGGGACAAGAAGGAUGAUUUUAGAUUUUUUUUUUGCAGCAUUACUCAUCCUCACGAGUGGGCCAAAAUUUAUGCAAGGAGCAACGAAGUUCUCAGAUGUGUUCUCCAGGAGCUUCAGACAGAUGCUGAAUCACUGCACAAAGGGGGAAACGAGCCGUUUCGAAGAAUCACAAGCCAACAAAUUCACCAGCAGAAACGGGAGAGAAGGGGCAUUGCAGAAUCAUUUCAAGAGGACCAGUAGCCGCUGCAUGCUGGUGAGAGCCAUUCCAGACCUUAUGCUUGUAAUUGGCACUCGAAGGUGCUUUUGCUUUUUAUGUUUCCAAGUGAGC
RNAcentral lists this long non-coding RNA (888 nucleotides) under Numida meleagris (helmeted guineafowl). RNAcentral describes it as "lncRNA (ENSNMEG00000007817.1)". Lineage: Eukaryota; Metazoa; Chordata; Aves; Galliformes; Numididae. The record is from RNAcentral.